RNAcentral lists this ribosomal RNA (372 nucleotides) under uncultured organism. RNAcentral describes it as "bacterial SSU rRNA". It matches the Rfam family "Bacterial small subunit ribosomal RNA", at positions 526 to 896 of the family's 1533-position model. The record is from RNAcentral.
CGUAGGGGGCGAGCGUUGUCCGAAGUUACUGGGCGUAAAGAGCGCGUAGGCGGGCUUCUAAGUGAGGGGUGAAAGGUUCGGGCUCAACCCGGAGAGUGCCUUUCAUACUGGAAGCCUUGAGUGCGGGAGAGGCAAGUGGAAUGGUCGGUGUAGCGGUGAAAUGCGUAGAUAUCGAUCGGAACACCCGUGGCGAAGGCGGCUUGCUGGCUCGCAACUGACGCUGAGGCGCGAAAGCGUGGGGAGCAAACAGGAUUAGAUACCCUGGUAGUCCACGCCGUAAACGAUGAGUGCUAGAUGUCCGGGGUAUCGACCCCCCUGGUGUCGCAGCUAACGCAAUAAGCACUCCGCCUGGGGAGUACGGCCGCAAGGUUG